RNAcentral lists this transfer RNA (75 nucleotides) under Candidatus Wolfebacteria bacterium CG10_big_fil_rev_8_21_14_0_10_31_9. RNAcentral's name for it is "tRNA-Arg". It matches the Rfam family "tRNA". From Rfam's summary of the family: Transfer RNA (tRNA) molecules are approximately 80 nucleotides in length. Their secondary structure includes four short double-helical elements and three loops (D, anti-codon, and T loops). Lineage: Bacteria; Candidatus Wolfeibacteriota. The record is from RNAcentral.
GCCCCUAUAGCUCAACGGAUAGAGUACGGGUUUGCGGAACCUGGGAUUGAGGUUCGAUUCCUCAUGGGGGCACAA